AGGAUCAAGAAGGGCCAGGGUCCAGCCAGGAUGCAGUCUCAAGUCACGCAUAGCUUUGGGUUAACCAUUUGGGGAAGGUUCUGGGACAUAAACCGCACUGCAGAGCUGAUCCACCUUGAGGCAAGGGGUAAGCUGUGUACACUGUACCCAUCAGUUUAUGGCCGAGGGAUCUCCUGUCAGUAUAAGCGAAGGGUUGUCCUCCAGACCUGGGGGGGCUGUGGCCAGAGGUGGUUCUGGGAGCUGCAUCACAGCUUCUGUUUCACGAUGUGGUUUGAUCGCCCAGCAUCUGACCCCAUUUCUCCAUAACUUCCCUCCUCCUCCCCCUCCUCCUGUGUGUUACACAGCACACCAAACCAGCACGGGCAGAAGCAGCAACAUGGAGAGGUGGGCGAGACAGCGGAGGUGGUGGCCAUCAGCGAACAAACUCCCAGUGGCCAUUUGCCCUUUCUUAACUCAUCAUGCAUCUGGCCCGGUGUUCAGUCCGCUCAUGUGAAAAGUCAGAGUCGGAAACGGAAUGGGAACUUGACACAAAUCUGGUUUCCAGUCUCUAGGUCCACGCCUCUGCAAGUGGCUCAAUUUCAUUCUUUGUUAUGGAUUUCACCUUGAAUUCUACUUUGUAGGACAUUGGAUUUAUCACUGCUGCUUUCUUCCCUCCUUUCAUCCUUCCGUGAAUAACCACAAGUCCACACUGUGUGCCAAGUACCCUUCUAGGUGCUGAAGACAGACUAGACAAGAAAUUAAACCAAAUCUUUACUUCCUGGAACUUAUAUUCUAGUGUGGGAGAAAGUAAAACAAGAUAAAUAUGAAAAAUAUGAUUCAUUUUUUCCAGUUUUUAAUGUUUUAUUUUAUUAAAAUUUUUUUCAUGAUUUAUUAACAUUUUGUUCAUUGAGAAAAUGGUUAUUUUGUUAAAGAAACCUUUUCUUCUGUUUUUCCUUUGUUUUAAUUUUGCUAAAUUUACAUAUAAUGCUGCAAUAAGCAGCCUUAAAUAUCUAUGCUUACAUACUGUUAUUUUAUUCUUAGAGAUAUAUUGACAGAAUAAGGUUAUCGGAUAAAUGGGUGUAUGGCUAUAUGCCUAUAUAAUUAUUAUUAAAAUAUAUACGAUAUGGUCUAAUGCUUUAAGUCCUUUCUAUUUAAAGGGUUGCUCACAGAUCCAAAGACACAAGAUGGGAACAGGUUGGAAACAUGAGGAUCCACCUUGGACCAACGGAGUGUGUGUCUUUGUUGUUGGUACGCAAUCCGAGCUUGCUCUGCUUGCCCCAUGCCGAGCCAGUAAGACAGGAGACAGGUGUUGAGGCAAAGAAUAGUGACUUCAUUCGGAAAGCUGGCAGAGAAGAUGGUAGGCUAGUGUCUCAAAAUCACCUUGGGGUCUGGAUGCCAAUUUCUUUAUAUAGAAGUGGCGGGUAGGUAGGAAAUAAAGCA
Molecule: long non-coding RNA, 1419 nt
Organism: Capra hircus (goat)
Lineage: Eukaryota; Metazoa; Chordata; Mammalia; Artiodactyla; Bovidae
Exons: 3
Source: RefSeq, a predicted model, not a curated record